AGCAGCCGCGGGAAUACCCGCGCCCCUAGUGGUGGUCGAUAUUAUUGAGCCUAAAACGUCCGUAGCCGGUCUUUUAAAUCCUUGGGUAAAUCGGGCAGCUUAACUGUCCGAAUUCCGAGGAGACUGGAAGACUUGGGACCGGGAGAGGUCAGAGGUACUUCUGGGGUAGGGGUAAAAUCCUGUAAUCCUGGAAGGACCACCGGUGGCGAAGGCGUCUGACUAGAACGGAUCCGACGGUGAGGGACGAAGCCCUGGGGCGCAAACGGGAUUAGAUACCCCGGUAGUCCAGGGUGUAAACGCUGCGGGCUUGGUGUUGGGGGUCCUUUGUGGGCGCCCAGUGCCGGAGAGAAGUUGUUAAGCCUGCUGCUUGGGGAGUAUGUCCGCAAGGAUGAAACUUAAAGGAAUUGGCGGGGGAGCACCGCCAACGGGAGGAGCGUGCGGUUCAAUUGGAUUCAACGCCGAAAAACUCACCAGGAGCGACGGAUAUAUGAAGGUCAAGUUGAUGACUUUACCUGAUUUUCCGAGUGGAGGUGCAUGG
Molecule: ribosomal RNA, 538 nt
Filed under: uncultured archaeon
Lineage: Archaea
Description: bacterial SSU rRNA
Rfam family: Archaeal small subunit ribosomal RNA
Source: RNAcentral